CGCUGUCCUAUACCCUGCCCAAAGCAAGAAAGAAGCAAGGUCCCUACUCUACAAAAGAGAAGGGAGGGAAGAAAAGGAAGGAGGAGGGGGGGGGGGGCUCCCCUGGCUGCCCCGACCGGAAGGCAGGCGCCGGCGUCAUCCACUGCCGGCGUCACCCCGUCCAGGACGAAGAAAGCUUCGGCCUCCCCUUUUUUCCCGUACGGAGGAAGAAGAAGCCCCAGGACCGUCGGAUCUAGGGCGGACGGCUCCUCCCGGCCGUCGGAUCGGACCGCAUUAAGCUGAACCGGUACCGGGCCCUAACUAGGCCGCGGCCCCGUAAUGGCCCAGGAAGUCGGCCAAAAAAAAGAAGAAAAAAAAAGAGGAGGCGCGCCCGAGGGCGGCCCAGCUCGCGCGCAAGGCCAGCCCGAGGCGGCCCAGCUGGCCCAGGCGGCCAAUGAGGCUCGGGAAAAUUGCGAAAAAGCCCAAAAUCAUGGGGAAAUUGCCAAUAAGACCCUGAAAAUUUUGGGGAGGCCUGUAGGGCCCCUGAUUUUGCAAAAAAGUCCUCCGGGACACCGAACUUCUCGCAAAGAGGCCCCUGGGGUCCCGGUUUUGCUAAAAAUACCCUC
Molecule: long non-coding RNA, 605 nt
Filed under: Brachypodium distachyon (stiff brome)
Lineage: Eukaryota; Viridiplantae; Streptophyta; Magnoliopsida; Poales; Poaceae
Description: long non-coding RNA (BDIS_LNC002000)
Source: RNAcentral